This is a long non-coding RNA of Sardina pilchardus (European sardine), 698 nucleotides long. RefSeq lists it as uncharacterized. The record is from RefSeq and is a predicted model, not a curated record. NCBI's taxonomy places the organism in Eukaryota, Metazoa, Chordata, Actinopteri, Clupeiformes, Clupeidae. The transcript has 3 exons.
AGACGCCUCAAUCUUGUUCCUCGCACUUCCGGCUACGUCCCGUCGACCGGUGUCUUGCACCCUACCUGUCGCUGGCCUUACUUGGCUCUGUUCGUUGGAUUGUGCCGGUUGAAUGCUUGCAUCCCGUGUUGUUGGGUGAUAUUCUGAACCGAAGAGCUAGCUGGAGCCAGCGAGUGUUUUGGCCUGGGAGGGAAACAGCUGAUUUCCUGAUACCGUGGGUUUGGGGAUAGCGACCACUGCUGUUUUGCCACACUUUAUCUUCACGACGAGCACUUCGUUUGCGUUUGUAACGCGCUGACCGUGAAGACGCCGACAAUUCAUUUUAAAGGGCUAAGUGCCAAUUGUCUUUUGUCUGUGUGUUCGUGAAUGUGUGUUUGUGAAUGUUUGUGCAUUUUACCGUGUGCAUGUAGAGUGUUGGUGUGGGUUCAUUGUUGAAUGUGCAUGUAUGGUUUUCUUUGUGUUGUGUGUUCGUUUACUUUGUUUUGAUUUUGGGGUUCUACACUGGCAGGAGGCAUUGGGUAGCAUAGCUGUGGAUUGCUAGUGCUUGUGUUACGGCCUUCUUAACUUUAGCUUUUCGUUUGUAUUUGUGUUCUGUCUGUCUGUUAUUCUUUUGGCUUUGAUUUAUUAUUCUUUCUUUAUUUUGUGUUAGACAUUGGUGGGAGGCUUUUGUACUGCUGUGGAUCAUCAGUGAUCCCUGU